RNAcentral lists this ribosomal RNA (242 nucleotides) under uncultured bacterium. Its description in RNAcentral is "partial 16S ribosomal RNA". It matches the Rfam family "Bacterial small subunit ribosomal RNA", at positions 118 to 349 of the family's 1533-position model. The record is from RNAcentral.
UGAGGAACAUGACCUUCGGCGGGGGAUAGCCGGCCCAACGGCCGGGUAAUACCGCGUACGACCACUUGGGGACAUCCCUAGGUGGUGAAAGCAGCAAUGCGCCGAUGGAGUGCCUCGCGGCCUAUCAGCUAGUUGGUGAGGUAACGGCUCACCAAGGCGACGACGGGUAGCUGGUCUGAGAGGAUGGCCAGCCACAGUUGGGACUGAGACACGGCCCAGACCUCCGUACGGGGAGGCCCGCG